This is a long non-coding RNA of Lacerta agilis (Sand lizard), 338 nucleotides long. RefSeq lists it as uncharacterized. The record is from RefSeq and is a predicted model, not a curated record. The transcript is spliced from 3 exons. NCBI's taxonomy places the organism in Eukaryota, Metazoa, Chordata, Lepidosauria, Squamata, Lacertidae.
CUCCAGAAGAACUCCAGGAUGAGACACCACUCAAAAUGAGGAGAUAAGAUGGCAGCUAAGUAUAAGGUCCUGUCGACAAAAAGAGGAUGACAUAAGGCACCAAUCCAAAUGAGCAGUUAAAAUGGCGGGAGGCCUGACAUUCACAGAACCUUCAAGAACCAGUGUGGCUUCCAGAUCCAAUGCGGCUUCCAGAUCCAAUGUGGCUUCUAGAUCCAAUGUCUCUUCCAGAUCCAAUGUGGCUUCUAGAUCCAAUGUCUCUUCCAGAUCUAAUGUGGCAUCCAGGACAAUAUUAAAACGGAGACGAAAACCACCUCCCACAAAGGGUAUGUAUGCAGCAC